AACGUAGGAGGCGAGCGUUAUCCGGAGUUACUGGGCGUAAAGCGCGCGCAGGCGGUCAUGUAAGUGAGCUGUGAAAGCUCCCGGCUAAACUGGGAGAGUGCGGCUGAGACUGCAUGACUAGAGUGAGGUAGAGGAGCGUGGAAUUCGGGGUGUAGCGGUGAAAUGUGUAGAGAUCCCGAGGAACACCAGAGGGGAAACCGGCGCUCUGGGCCUUAACUGACGCUGAGGCGCGAAAGCUUGGGGAGCGAACGGGAUUAGAAACCCCAGUAGUCC
Molecule: ribosomal RNA, 273 nt
Filed under: uncultured bacterium
Lineage: Bacteria
Description: partial 16S ribosomal RNA
Rfam family: Bacterial small subunit ribosomal RNA
Source: RNAcentral